RNAcentral lists this long non-coding RNA (269 nucleotides) under Vigna radiata. RNAcentral's name for it is "long non-coding RNA (VRAD_LNC012624)". Lineage: Eukaryota; Viridiplantae; Streptophyta; Magnoliopsida; Fabales; Fabaceae. The record is from RNAcentral.
AAACAACCAACGCUGAAAGUAGUAACAAUUUAAAAAUAAAAGGUUCUUAAGCAUGUUCCUAAAAAUAAUUAUAAUUACUACGAUUAUAAUUAUGGUAAUCAAAUUAAAAAUGUUCCUAAAUAUAAUUAUAAUCAUCAUGAUUAUAAUUAUAAAAAUAAAAUCAAGUAUUUUCCUAAUUAUAAUCAAAAUUAUAAUUAUGAUUAUAAUUAUAAAAUUAAGGGUUAAUAAUGUUUUUGGUCCUUUAACUUUUUAUGAAAAUUGGAAUUAGU